This 415-nucleotide long non-coding RNA is filed under the name Homo sapiens (human). RNAcentral describes it as "non-protein coding LINC01255:7". The record is from RNAcentral. Lineage: Eukaryota; Metazoa; Chordata; Mammalia; Primates; Hominidae.
CGGCAACUGUGCAGAGAGGCUUGCAGGUCCAAACCACUGGUAGCAGCCCCUGGUAUAUCCAGGACAUCAGCACAUAGAACCAGUGAAAGGGUCCUCCCUCAUAGUGACGCAUGUCAUAGACUCAGAUUUAUACAAACAAAUGCUGAGCAAACCAUGAAGAGUCUCUGGUAUUUUCAACAAUAUCAUCACAGAGGAACUGUAUUGAUUUCCUUCCUUCAGUGGUCCAAGAACCUGCUGCUCCCGGGUCCUCUCAUUUGAAGACACCCACCGCCUAAGGAUGAAGAGAAGCUCCUUCUUGCAGAUCUGAGGCUGAUUUCCCAACUCCCAGGAACACCCUACCCACAGCCUGUUCCCCAGACCCAGGUCUGUCCCCUUAUGCCUGGUCCCAAGUCAAAACCAGCUGUUCCUAUUUUAG